RNAcentral lists this ribosomal RNA (378 nucleotides) under uncultured bacterium. RNAcentral's name for it is "bacterial SSU rRNA". It matches the Rfam family "Bacterial small subunit ribosomal RNA", at positions 431 to 793 of the family's 1533-position model. The record is from RNAcentral.
CACUUUCAGUCGUGAGGAAGGUAGUGUAGUUAAUAGCUGCAUUAUUUGACGUUUAGCGACAGAAGAAGCACUGGCUAAACUCCGUGCCAGCAGCCGCGGUAAUACGGAGGGUGCGAGCGUUAAUCGGAAUUACUGGGCGUAAAGCGCAUGCAGGUGGUUUGUUAAGUCAGAUGUGAAAGACCCGGGGCGUCAACCUCGGAAUAGCAUUUGAAACUGGCAGACUAGAGUACUGUAGAGGGGGGUAGGAAGUUUCAGGUGUAGCGGUGAAAUGCGUAGAGAUCUGAAGGAAUACCGGUGGCGAAGGCGGCCCCCUCGGACAGAUACUGACACUCAGAUGCGAAAGCGUGGGGAGCAAACAGGAUUAGAUACCCCUGGUAG